RNAcentral lists this ribosomal RNA (253 nucleotides) under uncultured bacterium. RNAcentral describes it as "partial 16S ribosomal RNA". It matches the Rfam family "Bacterial small subunit ribosomal RNA", at positions 524 to 776 of the family's 1533-position model. The record is from RNAcentral.
UACGGAGGGUGCGAGCGUUGUCCGGAAUCACUGGGCGUAAAGGGCGCGUAGGCGGCGCGGGUAGUCAUCGGUGAAAGUUCAGGGCUCAACUCUGAAUCGGCCGGUGAUACUCCCGUGCUCGAGCACUGUAGAGGCAGGUGGAAUUCCGGGUGUAGCGGUGGAAUGCGUAGAGAUACGGAAGAACACCGGUGGCGAAGGCGGCCUGCUGGGCAGUAGCUGACGCUGAUGCGCGACAGCGUGGGGAGCAAACAGG